CAAGAUCCGACCUCGUCUUCAGUUUUCCAGCCUCCUCCUCCUCCUCCAACAACGGCAAUCGGUAUGGAGCAGUUCGACCUACUGGUUCAGCAUGUCAGAGGCCUCACCGAAGCAGUGCAAGCCAUGCAGUAGCAGCAUCAACAGCCGUAGGUAUCAGUGCGGUUGGAAAGAGCAACGUCGGAGUUUCAAAAUCUGACAAUAGG
RNAcentral lists this long non-coding RNA (203 nucleotides) under Elaeis guineensis (African oil palm). RNAcentral's name for it is "long non-coding RNA (EGUI_LNC047369)". Lineage: Eukaryota; Viridiplantae; Streptophyta; Magnoliopsida; Arecales; Arecaceae. The record is from RNAcentral.